Molecule: long non-coding RNA, 644 nt
Filed under: Phoenix dactylifera (date palm)
Lineage: Eukaryota; Viridiplantae; Streptophyta; Magnoliopsida; Arecales; Arecaceae
Description: long non-coding RNA (PDAC_LNC008080)
Source: RNAcentral
GCUGAAUCGGGAGUAUUCAGCAAGAAAAAUAGUUUUUGGUUGGUUUGUCUGAAAACCAACUAGGUUGUUUGUGAGCCCGAAAAAACAAACGGUGUAAAGUUUUUGGUUGAUUUAUCUCCAAACCAACUGGAUUGUUUGUGAGCCCGAAAAACAAACGGGGAUAGGUUUUCGGUUGGUUGCCUGGGAAAACCAACUGGAUUUUUGAUUGUGAGCCCGGAAAACAAUCAGACUGUAAUCUGCUAGGUUAUAGUGAAAUCUCAAGCUAGGCUUGGGGAGUGGACGUAGGUGAUGGGAGUGCAACGAACCACUAUAAACCUUGGUGUUUGUGUGUGUGAUUUAUCUCUCUUCCUCCAAUGCAUAUUUCUGAUUGCUUUCCUCAUCUUAUUCACUGCUUCAUUUGUGCAAUCUUAUUUCCGCUGCUAAAUCAGCAAGUUAUUGAAAGAUAAUAAUAACUCACAUUCUUCACACGUUUAUUUUUAAAAGAUCCAAUUCACCCCUCCCUCUUGGGCUGCACCUCUGGGCAACAAUUCAUCAUUUCAUUGUACAUCUUCAAAUGAACUCCUAUAUGAUGAAGUCCUUAGGACUUAUUUUAUGAUAAAGAAGGAUUUAUCUUCAAGUCCUUAAAACUGUUCACGAUCAAAUNN